CCAAAGGGCACCCAGGGGGCACCCAGGGAGCACUGGGGACAGACUGGGAGCACCCACAGUGGGGAACUGGGGACACUGGGGGGGGAAACUGGGACCGGACACAGCUCUGGGACUGGGAUUGUUAUUUUCAUACUGGGAUUGUUAUUUUUGGAUUGGGAUCAUGGAUCUGGGACUGGGAUCAAGGGACUGGGAUCAUGGAUCUGGGACUGGGAUUGGGACUGGGAUCAUGGAUCUGGGACUGGGAUCCCAGCUCUGGGAUGCAGCUCUGGGACUGGGACUGUUAUUGUCAUACUGGGAUCACGGAUCUGGAACUGGGGUCAUGGGACUGGGAUCACUAUUCUGGACUGGGAUCAUGGAUCUGAGACUGGGAUCAAGGGACUGGGAUCUGGACUGGUAUCAUGGAUCUGGGACUGGGAUCACAGAUUUGGGACUGGGAUUGCUAUUUUCAUACUGGGAUUUUCAUACUGGGAUCGCUAUUUUGGGACUGGGAUCAGGGAUCUGGGACUGGGAUCACAGGACUGGGAUUGGGACUGGAAUCAAGGAUCUGGGACUGGGAUCGCUAUUUUCAUACUGGGAUUGUUAUUCUGGGACUGGGAUCAUGGAUCUGGGACUGGGAUCAAGGGACUGGGAUCAUGGAUCUGGGACUGAGAUUAUCAUUUUCCUACUGGGAUUGUUAUUCCUGGACUGGGAUUGUUAUUUCCCUACUGGGAUUGUUAUUCUGGGACUGAGAUCAUGGAUCCAGGAUUGGGAUUGUUAUUCCAGGACUGGGAUCACUGCUCUGGGACUGAGAUCAUGGAAUUGGGAUUGGGAUCUGGGACUGGGAUCGUGGAUCUGGGACUGGGAUCCCAGCUCUGGGAUGCAGCUCUGGGACUGGGAUCACUAUUUUCCUACUGGGAUUGUUAUUCCUGGACUGGGAUCACAGAUCUGGGAUCCCUGUUUUUGUACUGGGAUUGUUAUUUUGGGACUGGGAUCACUAUUUUCCUACUGGGAUUGUUAUUCCUGGACUGGGAUUAUCAUUUUCCUACUGGGAUUGUUAUUCCUGGACUGGGAUCCCAGCUCUGGGAUGCAGCUCCAGACUGGGAUCGCUAUUUUCAUACUGGGAUCGCUAUUUUCAUACUGGGAUUGUUAUUUUCAUACUGGGAUUUUCAUACUGAGAUCACAGAUUUGGGACUGAGAUCAGGGAUCUGGGACUGGGAUCGGGACUGGAAUCAAGGAUCUGGGACUGGGAUUGCUAUUUUCAUACUGGGAUUGUUAUUUUGGGACUGGGAUCAUGGAUUUGGGACUGGGAUGAAGGAUCUGGGACUGGGAUCCUGGAUCUGGGACUGGGAUCGCUAUUUUCAUACUGGGAUUGUUAUUUCUGGACUGGGAUCAUGGAUCCGGGAUUGGGAUCAUGGAUUUGGGACUGGGAUCCUGGAUCUGGGACUGGGAUCACAGUUUUGGGACUGGGACUGUUAUUUUCAUACUGGGAUCGAGGAUUUGGGACUGGGAUCACAGGACUGGGAUUGGGACUGGGAUCGGGACUGGGAUCCUGGAUCUGGGACUGGGAUCCCAGCUCUGGGAUG
Molecule: long non-coding RNA, 1562 nt
Filed under: Zonotrichia albicollis (white-throated sparrow)
Lineage: Eukaryota; Metazoa; Chordata; Aves; Passeriformes; Passerellidae
Description: lncRNA (ENSZALG00000001414.1)
Source: RNAcentral